This 519-nucleotide long non-coding RNA is filed under the name Mytilus galloprovincialis (Mediterranean mussel). Lineage: Eukaryota; Metazoa; Mollusca; Bivalvia; Mytilida; Mytilidae. The record is from RNAcentral.
UCUAGUACUCUUUAAAGAAAUGCCUAUGUAUACGCUGUUGUUGCCUUUUAUGGCUGUGUUUUAUAUAUGUGUAUGUGCAUAACGUGAAACUUUUGAGAAAUACAGUUUUUUAAACACUAUUUGGAAUUGACCUCUGUGCUUGUUUUACAGUGACUUCAGAAAAUGUCAGUAUAUUUCACAUUUAUUUUCGUAAAUAUUAAUAUCACAGAUUUGCAUACUAUUUAGCUAUCCACAUUUAAUAUGACAUUUGGAAGACAUCUUUUAAAAAUGAGAUCAUAUUUUUUUUUUCAAUCGGUUUGAUUAUCCAAUGUUUUGUUCAAUUUCAAAGCAAUUAUGUUUAGGCCAAAGUUUUAAAAUAGAUAUAUGAGAAGAUUUGACAGUACAUGUUUAUGUAGCUUUUGAAGUGUAUAAUAUUGUAAAAAGAAAUGUUAUAAAGUUGUUUUACCAGAUACAAUGUAAUUGCUUUUAGUAAAAUGGAGACAACUUAUGUGUUGUGUAGUAAAUUGUUGAGCACAUUGA